GGUCUCUGAUGAUGUCAGCACUGGGCACUGAGCUCCUGUGAUGAUGGCAGUGCCUCCUAGGUUCUUGACACCCUGGGGGACUGAAGGGCAG
Molecule: non-coding RNA, 91 nt
Organism: Alligator sinensis (Chinese alligator)
Lineage: Eukaryota; Metazoa; Chordata; Crocodylia; Alligatoridae
Source: Rfam